RNAcentral lists this long non-coding RNA (2125 nucleotides) under Malus domestica (apple). RNAcentral describes it as "long non-coding RNA (MDOM_LNC009357)". Lineage: Eukaryota; Viridiplantae; Streptophyta; Magnoliopsida; Rosales; Rosaceae. The record is from RNAcentral.
CAAUUGCCUAAUGCAAACUGUACGACAGGACUGGCACUUAACUUGGAUCCAAGGCGAGUAAACGGUGCGAUGUGAACAUACACAUGAAGGACUGGCCCUGGCCCUAGCGCGAGUACUAACAUCGGUGCAGCAAGAUGAACAUGUACAGAUAUGUAUGAAUGUCAUGAUAGUAAUAUCCCAACCAUAUAGCAGCAUUUAUCACAAUUAAUAUAACAAUAACAAUACUUUGCAAUAUAAGCGUAAAAGUGAAGUAAAUAUGCAUUUAUGGAAACUAUAAUUAUGUAUAGGUAUAAAAACAACUGCCCACUCACAGAUACGCAGUUCAAACAAAACCUCCGAGCCUUGCUUGACCCCGUACGUCCUCAAGAUACGUUUCCCCUACAUGUGAAAUUACUAAUUAACUUAGUUUAAUAACACAAACUAAAACUUAAAUAAAACCUUUGUAGAUUGCUCAAACAUAAGGUUUGAAUAUAUGAAAUUGAUCUACUCGACGUCACGGACCUACACAAAUUUUUAGAAUAAUUUUUGGACACCGGAUGUGCCGGCUAUGGCACGGCCACACGCGCAGGUAGAGCUGAUAGAGACCUAACGGCUGUUAGGAAUAUUUCGUUAAAAGGUAAUAGAAGUUAACGAUGUUACCUGAUGCCGUUAGAAUAUUCCAUCAGAGUUAACGGAAUAUUCCGUCGUCUUCUCCGAUGGUCCUCACCGAUCGCCACGGUCUGAACUCACCGGAAUCUGGAAAUUUUCACCGGUUUCUGGUUAAAAUUUCAAACCUUCAUAUCUUCUUUAUUUCUCAACCAUUUUUCACAAACAUUAUAUGGAAAUAAAGCUUAUGAAGAGUAGAAUCGCGUUAUACCUUUUUGAAGUCCAAAAAGUGGACGGAGGUGGCCUGAAAAAGCCUCGAAAUGUACGGCUAAAACUGGGACUUCUCUUAAUCUUGUGCUUCAAGGUUGAUUCAUCACCAAACCUUCACUUAAAACCUUAGGGAGUUGUAAGAAAGCUUCCCCGACCUUCAAAACUCCUCGACUCAGCCUGAAAACAUCGAUCCAGAACUCACCGAGUUUGUGAGUCAAACCUCAACCAAAUCGAGAUCUGGUUACACGGUUGUGAUCAUUGGGUUAAGGGAAGUUCAAAGGUGUAGGUUACAAGUCACAUUUGUAGGGGGUUUGGAUGUUGUUAAAAAGAGUUGCAAAGAGAAUGUGCGAGAGAGAAAGAGUGUUCUUCGAUUGGGUGAUGGGUUUGUUGGUGAUGAUCUGAUUGGUUGCUUUUAAAUGAGGGAAAUCAACUGAUUAGUGAAGGAGAAAAGUAAGGGAAAAGGAAUGGUGGUGAGGGAUUAGUGGAAAAAUCAAAUUGAAUAAUUUGAUUGGUUAAGUGUGAGGGGACCGGAUCCACUUUUAGGGAUUUUGUACAAUUUUAAAUGUACAAAAUCAGCCUCUUUAACAGUGUUUUUUGACACUGUAAAUUUCUACCCGCGUGUACAAAAUUACCUAUGAUUAACAUACUUUAACGAAGCGUAACUUUUUCUUUAUAGAUCUUAUUCGAGUCUAACACGCACUCACGCGCUCGUAGCGACGAGUACUAAUUUAGUACGAAACUAGGAAAAUGAAACUGAAAACCAAAAGCCACAUCCACAUCAGAUUCUACUUUUGUCCAAAAAGGGUAAAAUCAUCAACUCACACCAAUAGAAAAGAAAUUACAGUGAAAAAUAAGGACGGGUCGUCACAAGUAUAAAUUUAUAAAAUUUGGUUUAAUGAUAAAUAAAUUUAACUAGAAUCGUUGAUUUUGUUGUUUGAAAUUAACGAGGAGGUUUUGGGUUCAAAACACCAUAUGUGCUUAUUUAAAUUCCAAUUUUUACAAAUUUCUUUUCAUAACAGUAUAAAUUGAUAAAAUUUGGCUAAAUGAUCAAAAGUUUAAUUAGAAGCAAUGGUUUUUGUAUCUAAAAUUAACGAGAGGUCCUAAGUUCGAAAUGCUAUGUGCAUGUUUUUUUUUCUUCAAUUUUUACGAAUUUUUGUUUGGUUGUUAAUUUAUUCUUAAUUACUAGCUAGUAACUAUGUGGGUUACUAUUUUUAAACGUUCAUUCUAAUUCAAGUCUAAUCUUCAACAAAGGAUAAUGCGUAGACUAAAU